AACGAAGCCACAGCACAAGCCAGGGCUGGGCUGUCCCUGCGGCAGCGCUCCCAAGGGAAACCCCCCUUACAGCUCCCGUUAAUCCCCACCUGGAAAUUAUUUCUAUUCUAUAUAUCACUGAUACGUUAUCGAGAUAUUUAAUUAUACAUCCGGCUCCUGAUUUAUUCUCCCAGCUGGGGCAACCACCUCUAAAACACCGGGUUGUACCCGUAGCAGCUCGCGUUUGCAGAGGGCUCUGUAGGGAUGAUACCGCCGCUGCGUUGACGCUGCUUAACGGGGCUCUUAGUUAUCCUCCAGCUGACCAGCUCUGCAGCCCACCUGCUCCCAAUUAUUUACAAAUAACUCAUUAUUUAUAAAUAACCAGCUUGGCCUGAUGAGGUUUCAGGCUUGUUGGUAGCAUGGCUCUGGCUCGCAGUGUCUGGCUGCUCCUUAGCAGUAUCUUUUGGCUGCUGGAAGGUGGCCCUGGGGGGGCGCAGCACACGGGCAGCCCCCAGCGUGGCGGCGGUGGCCCGCGGGGCGACGACAUCCUCAGCAUCAAUGGAGCACUUGCUCCACUCAAGGCGCCCGACAGCAGCUUCCUUGUCGAAGGGGACAUCGUCCGGGCGGUGAGUGAGGGUGGCGGGGCCACCGCGGGGUG
RNAcentral lists this long non-coding RNA (637 nucleotides) under Struthio camelus australis. RNAcentral describes it as "lncRNA (ENSSCUG00000015656.1)". Lineage: Eukaryota; Metazoa; Chordata; Aves; Struthioniformes; Struthionidae. The record is from RNAcentral.